AUUCUUUGGCGGAAAACAAUCUCCAUCAAAAUAGCUCUGGUCGGGAACUUAAGAAGAUCCAACUUGUCCCAACUAGAACGGACACUACGAGAUUCACCACAAUCCAGGAAUGAACAAUUUCUGCCUCUGUACCUGCAGUCCUGGGAAAGACACAGCAAACCAUCAGCCAUCAUUGGUGCACAGAAGAUACUGCCAUUUUCCGAAGGUGGCGUGUAGAGGUGGAUUCUGUCACAUGUCAUCUGCUGGCUUAAGGAUAAGAUAAGAGCAGCAAAGUACACUGGAACAAAUGGAAUUAGUAGUGUCAGAUAUAAAUCCCAAAAUGCUGUCUCAUCAUGACACGGUACUAAUCACUACAUUUUCUUUCCUUUCACUCCACUGCCUCCAAUCAUAGUCUGUUUUAAUUCACUCUUUUUUCUUUAACAUUCCCCUGACCUAUCAAAAUCUGAUUUCUGCACUUUUGCAAUCCAUGAGCUGCAUCAAAGCUUGCAUUUUGUGAUUCUGUUUUUUUGUUAGGUUUGUGUUCUAUAUUCAGAAAUGGAAAAGAACUACCUCACUAACAAGCCAUUAAUGCUACUAUUGCAAAUGCUUUAAAAAAUAUGGAACUAAGUUUAUGGUCAUUGCUAUUAUCAACUACUGAGCAAGUUAUUAAUUCUACAGCAGAAAAUAACCUGGGAGGAAGAUUUCAGUAAAAAUGGUAUAGA
Long non-coding RNA from Passer domesticus (house sparrow), 701 nucleotides. RefSeq lists it as uncharacterized. The transcript is spliced from 3 exons. The record is from RefSeq and is a predicted model, not a curated record. Lineage: Eukaryota; Metazoa; Chordata; Aves; Passeriformes; Passeridae.